UUUUUUUUUUUUUUUUUUUAAUAUUGUAAGAGUGUCUGCUGAAACUUAGUAUUGUUUCAGUUCAGAUCAAUAGUUGUAAUCCCAAUGGCCUUUUCUCAAUCCCUGCUAAUAUACAAGUCUAUUUACAAGGGGCUUUCCCUCUGGCUAGCAACCCCCAUCCCGCUGCAGAUUGAGCAGAACCUUUUACCAUCUGUCACUGUGUUACUCCAAAAUGCAGUACUUCACAGAACAGACAGAGAGCUGGCGCACCUGAUAGGCUUAUUUCUAGAAUGGGAUGGGUCUUAAGAACAUGAGUGACAGGGUGCAUAGAGGAAGUCCUGUUGAGCUAAGACAGGUUUACUGUUGGGUGGGGGGGGUUGCCUUGGAGAAGAUGCACUAAGUCGUGUGGGCGGCGUAAAUCCAGUAUACGUGAGCCGGUUAAGCAGGCCAGAGCUGUUUUUAUUUUCUGUGGAGAAGAGAGGGAGGCACAGAGACUUCAUACACAUGAAUAGCCUCUUUUUCUGAAGACUCUUGAAGGAGGGAAUUUACUGUGUUCCCACUGCUGCAGUGUAGCGGAUGGGAAGGAGCGGUUGAGAGGGGAGUUAACAGGUGAUUUUGAAGAUGAUAUUGGAGUCCAUCCAAACUCUAUGUCAGAUGUGAACAACAACAUACUUCCUGAGCAAACAAGAUGACCAGUACGAUAAAUCAAUUGCAGAGAACAGGUGUUGUGAUAUAGGACAGAUCUGCAGGCUGAUUUUGGUCAGUCAUGUCUCAGUCAGGUAAAGUCCUCCACUUGUAUGUAGAGGUGAGAUCUGUCACUGAUGAAGAAGGAAAAGACCUGGAUGAUGUGGCAAAAACAGACUCCCUUAUGUUGACAGCACCAGACAUCCUUCAGUCAUCGCAGUAUGGUGGCCCUAAUGCACCACAUGGUCAGACAUCCCCACGCGGAGUCCUGCAUAAAGGUGGAAGCAGCACCAAGACCUUGGCCUCUAGUAAAUCAACAUCUAGACACUCCGUAAGUUUUCAGCUACAUCCAGGACACGACUCAGACCAACCGGUGACCCAACAGCAGAAAAGUCUACCUUAUGAUGAGAUAAACCAGUUACUGUCUGCCUUUCAAACAGAUCCCAAUGGAAAUGCAUGUCACUUGGUUUGUGCUCCUUCUGAACGUGACCCCUUCUUUGGGAAGGAACCUCACUUCUCAGGACGGUUUACUGCCCCUCCUACUCCCAGUGGGACUCGUAAAGCUUGCAGCCCAACUAAGAUGAAUGGAGGAAAUGAAGGGAGGCGAUCUGUUGCCACUUUCAGUUACAUUGAAAAAGCUAAAAUUAAAUCAGUAGAGGGUCAGUAUAGCUCUUUGUGCCAGAGCGAGCCUCACAAUCCUUUCAACAGAACCAUGGAGGAGAGUGCUACCCCUCUCCACCUCAGGAAAAGGCUCAGUGAUCCAGUGUGGUUGAACAGAUUGGAAUCCAUGAACAACUGUAGUUCAAACCAGCUUAGUCAAGGUUUGGGGAACUCACAUAUAGGUACUCCCAGCUUUAGGAGGGCAACUCUAGACUCCAUUGCCAGAGAAGCCACCCAUCGAGCAUUGGAAGAUUUUGGUUCCCCACAACUAAGGCAAAAACUGGCAGGCAACUGUCCUGAUAGAGGUCAUGACAUCAGAAGAGGAGAGCAGCGCCGCUGUCGGUCUUGGUCUGGAUCACCAGUGAUACCAUGCAGUUCUAGGACCCUGCCCACAAAAGCAACAAUAAUGGACCAUGAGCGGAAUAGUUUGUUUUAUAGAAUUCCUAGGAGCCAUGCUACAGACCAACUGUCUAACCAUGCCAAGCAAGUUUACUUUACAAUGUCACACUCAAGCGCCAACAAUCAGGAGGUCUCAAACCAAAGAGUGCAAGAGUAUAGGUAUCGCCCAAAUUUACCAUCCUGUAAGCCUACAGCUAUUCAACAUGAACAGCCAGCUAUGAUUGUAACUCAACCAUCAAGCAAUCAACAACUCAGUCAUUCCAUAAUAGAUAGUCCACGGCAAGCCCACAGAGUUAAUUUCAACCUGACCAACUCAAAAAAUAAGGUAGAAGAAGGAGCUAACCAGCUGAGUGGAAGGAGGAGCAUAUCCCCAGCCACAAGUCCCGAGAUGGCUUGUAAACUAGCAGAAGAAGCCACCAAACUUUCCAUACUUAUGGAAGCCAGGAGGUCUCCAACCCCAACCCUAUCAUCGACAGACACGGUAAGAUCUGACAGUCCCCAGCUAGGACAUUCAAGAGAGCCUCCGCUCUAUGCUAACUUCCAGGGCCCUGGAGAACAAACUCACUCUAAUUGCAACCUUCCUGGUCAGGAGUACAACUGUAAACAAGAAUUUGUCAAAACUGGUCACCACUCUGUUCAAACAACCCCUCUUUUGCCCCACAUUGGAAGUAUAUCUCCAGCAGCUCCAGCAAGGUUGAACCGAUCAGAUGUAAUACCGUCCUCUCCAAUACGAGACCCACGUAUAGAGAGAACACAGUUGGUAGGGAAGGACAGCCCGACUUUGCAUCGGCACCUGCCUUCCCAGUACACAAGAGACAGUCAUACACCUAGUUAUGAGCAUAGGCAGUAUGAGACACUCAGAGGUCUAAAAGACAGCCCAAAUAGCAGCAGGAGACAUUUUACAAGGCCUAACCUAGAGACACCAAGCUGGACCGCUCAGCAAAAGCAUGGGGUAGAGGAAUGCUUAGCCAGAGAAAAGGAAAACUUAAGGGAGAAGGACAGUCAUAAGAGGAAUAGUCCAACAACACCAGUCUCUGAAGAGAACCAUUGUAGGGUCUCAAUGCAGAAAAAUGAGAUGAAAGCUGACACUAGGACUAACAGGGAGUGGAGUGGUACAGCAUCACAGAGUUCCAGUGGGGUCACAGGCAGCCUUAUAGAGAGCACUCUACAUGAGAAAGACUGCAUAUCCUCUGAGAUAUCUAGCAAAACCAGCCAAAAGAGUCCUGACUCUGGAAACACAGGAAUACAGUCUGAAGGUGGACCAUUUCUGCUGAGGCCUUCCUUGCGCUCUCAGAAGAUUGCUCGUGCCAAAUGGGAGUUCCUGUUUGGGUCCCACUACGAUCAACAAGAUAAGCAUGAAACAAAGGGUGAGAAUUUCUUGGAAAUGUCCAACUCAGACUUCCAGAAGGCAGUUUUCUGAAAUG
Molecule: long non-coding RNA, 3146 nt
Organism: Cyprinus carpio (common carp)
Lineage: Eukaryota; Metazoa; Chordata; Actinopteri; Cypriniformes; Cyprinidae
Source: Ensembl